UGCUUUUCCAUUUCUUCGACUAGGCUGC
Molecule: non-coding RNA, 28 nt
Filed under: Rattus norvegicus (Norway rat)
Lineage: Eukaryota; Metazoa; Chordata; Mammalia; Rodentia; Muridae
Source: RNAcentral